AACGAACGCUGGCGGCAGGCCUAACACAUGCAAGUCGAGCGAGAUCUUCGGGUCUAGCGGCGGACGGGUGAGUAACGCGUGGGAAUAUGCCUCUUGGUGCGGAAUAGCCUCGGGAAACUGGGAGUAAUACCGUAUGUGCCCUUUGGGGGAAAGAUUUAUCGCCAAGAGAUUAGCCCGCGUUGGAUUAGGUAGUUGGUGGGGUAAUGGCCUACCAAGCCGACGAUCCAUAGCUGGUUUGAGAGGAUGAUCAGCCACACUGGGACUGAGACACGGCCCAGACUCCUACGGGAGGCAGCAGUGGGGAAUCUUAGACAAUGGGGGCAACCCUGAUCUAGCCAUGCCGCGUGAGUGAUGAAGGCCUUAGGGUUGUAAAGCUCUUUCAGCUGGGAAGAUAAUGACGGUACCAGCAGAAGAAGCCCCGGCUAACUCCGUG
Molecule: ribosomal RNA, 433 nt
Filed under: uncultured bacterium
Lineage: Bacteria
Description: partial 16S ribosomal RNA
Rfam family: Bacterial small subunit ribosomal RNA
Source: RNAcentral